AAUCUUCCAGAAAUUCAUGAAGAGACUUCAGGUCAGGAAAGCCUGAACUUUCUCAUCCAACACCCGUUCAAGUCGGAGGAUGCUGAUUAAUUCAUGAUGGAAAGGUAUCAAUUUCACAGCCCAGACCUCUACAUUCUUGAAAUGCUCUUCUCAUGGGAGACAUUAAAUAAGCUUUGAAUUAACUGGACUUAUCUUCCUCAGUUCUCUGUGAUGAACUUUUGUAGAGCCAUACGAAAGGAGGUUUUUAGCUCUCACCUGUGGUCUUUCUUCAUCAUGCACCUCCUAGAUUCAAAAGUUCAGCAGGGACAUGUCAAGCUAUAUAAAUAAAAACAAACUAAGAAAAAAUGUAACAUUCCAUACCUUAAAACGCAACCUUAAUAACGUGAAAGACCCUGAAGGACUUGAGACGUGAAGAUUUUCUACCACGGUCUUUGCCUGUAUUAUUUCUGACAGCUGUUCCUUUCUACUCCCUCUUGCACACAUCUUUAGUUACUCCCUGUUCUCCAUCCCUCUGAUAAAAUCUAGAGUUCCCCCCUCAAAUUAGAAAAUUAAAAAAAAUUAAAAAUCUAAAAUUAAAAUUUAAAAAAUUUUUAAAAAUCUAGAGUUUAAAAAAAAUGUUCUAUCUCAGGCUUGUGAACCAUAUUGUUAGUUCACAAUUAAGAAUGAUGUACAUCUAUUGGACAAGUUUUAAUUAAUUCUUUCCCUUGGCUGAUUAGUAAAUUUCUGCAGUGAGUACAAAUGUU
Long non-coding RNA from Homo sapiens (human), 743 nucleotides. Ensembl annotates it as SATB1 antisense RNA 1. Its record names the gene SATB1-AS1. The record is from Ensembl. NCBI's taxonomy places the organism in Eukaryota, Metazoa, Chordata, Mammalia, Primates, Hominidae.